CUUAAAUGACGUCAUUUCCGCAAUUAUUUAAUAGGAAUUGAUUUGACUUGCUUCCGUUUGCCGCCAUUUUAGUCACCUGGAGGCGAGCUUGCUCGGAGUUCUUCAUAGCGUCUUUAACUUCCAAACUAGCAACAUCUGCAAUUGACCGCGCGUGUGUGACCGCGAACGACAUGUACGUGAUGGUGGUUGGCGCCAAAGGGGACGAGUGUCUUCCGGACGACGAGCAGGUGGACCCAGAGCGUCGGAUACCGGAGAAACUCGGACCCCGGCGAGAUUCAAAACGGAUGAAACGAGGUACGUGGGAUUCUGAUAGCUUUAACAC
Ostrinia furnacalis (Asian corn borer) is the source of this 322-nucleotide long non-coding RNA. RefSeq lists it as uncharacterized. The record is from RefSeq and is a predicted model, not a curated record. The transcript is spliced from 2 exons. Lineage: Eukaryota; Metazoa; Arthropoda; Insecta; Lepidoptera; Crambidae.